Molecule: ribosomal RNA, 477 nt
Filed under: uncultured bacterium
Lineage: Bacteria
Description: partial 16S ribosomal RNA
Rfam family: Bacterial small subunit ribosomal RNA
Source: RNAcentral
GAUGAACGCUGGCGGCGUGCUUAACACAUGCAAGUCGAACGAGAAGUGAAGACGGAAACCUUCGGGCGGAAGGCUUUAUUUCGAGUGGCGGACGGGUGAGUAACGCGUGGGUAACCUGCCUCAUACAGGGGGUAACAGUUGGAAACGAAUGUUAAUACCGCAUAAGACCACAGCACCGCAUGGUGCGGGGGUAAAAACUCCGGUGGUAUGAGAUGGACCCGCGUUCGAUUAGCCAGUUGGCGGGGUAACGGCCCACCAAAGCGACGAUCGAUAGCCGAUCUGAGAGGAUGACCGGCCACAUUGGGACUGAGACACGGCCCAAACUCCUACGGGAGGCAGCAGUGGGGAAUAUUGCACAAUGGGGGAAACCCUGAUGCAGCGACGCCGCGUGAGUGAAGAAGUAUUUCGGUAUGUAAAGCUCUAUCAGCAGGGAAGAAAAUGACGGUACCUGAGUAAGAAGCCCCGGCUAACUACGUG